AAGACUAUAGACCUGCGGAGUACCUGCGGAGGGAUCAUUCACAAUAAGUGUUUUAUGGCACUUUAAUUCCAUAUCCACCUUGUGUGCAACGUAGUUCGUUUUUCGAACAAAACAUCAACAUUUUAAUUAUCAACAGAUCGUCUGAAGUAUUAUAUGAAUAAAUCAAUUCAAAAUACAACUUUCAGCAACGGAUCUCU
This 197-nucleotide unclassified non-coding RNA is filed under the name soil metagenome. Its description in RNAcentral is "partial contains 5.8S ribosomal RNA, internal transcribed spacer 2, and large subunit ribosomal RNA". The record is from RNAcentral.